Long non-coding RNA from Caretta caretta (loggerhead turtle), 4312 nucleotides. RefSeq lists it as uncharacterized. The record is from RefSeq and is a predicted model, not a curated record. Lineage: Eukaryota; Metazoa; Chordata; Testudines; Cheloniidae.
GCCAGCGGAGAAGCUGGUGGAGAGGGCCAGAGCAGAGAGCCGCAGAAGUGUGACAAUCAGCCAUUGGGGCGAAAAGCGAGUGUCCGAGCAGUGCGGUGUGUAAGGUGCCUCCUCCCCCGCACCCUCCGCCUUCCGCACAGGGUGGGAGGUGAACUCUGCAGAUGAACCUCUGAACUCUUGGGCUGCACUGGCCAAGGACAACAACUGAACCCCUAGAUACUGAACCUGGCCCUUGUUGCUGCUGGCUCCACUUGGCAGAAGGGUUACAUCUAUGUCUGGAACAGUCUCCCAAUUAAGGUCAAAACUUGAAACAGAAGCUGGACCCAGGGCAAGGCAUUUGUGGUGAUGUGCAAGUGGGACGCCAGCAACCACUUCCUCCUCAGGGACAGCUUCACCUGAUUUGCCGACUGGAGGUUCAUCCACAGGGCCUGGCUCAACUGUGUUCCACUGAAUGGAGCCGUCCGCCAUGGGAAUCGGGACAAGCAAUGCAGGAAGUGCGGCUAUGCCAACGAGACGCUAGCCCAUGUCCUGUGUAGCUGCAAGCCUCAUUCAAGAGCUUGGCAGUUGUGACACAACACUAUCCAAGAUCUCCUGGCCAGAACCAUCCUGCCACCCAUGGGGAAGGUUGCCGUAAAUUCCGCCAUCCCCGGAACUGACAGCCAACUGCAACCGGACAUCCUCAUCACCAAUGAGGACCAGAAGAAGAUCAUCAUAGUGGACGUCACAGUGCGAUUCAAGAAUAGGACCGCGGCCUUCCAAGAUGCCCGAGCUUGAAAGGUAGAGAAAUAUGCCCCUCUGGCUGAAACCUUGAUAGCUAAGGGUUACCAGGUCCAGACACACGCACUGAUCAUCAGUGCCUUAGGUGCAUGGGACCCCAGUAACGAGCGAGUGCUGAGAGAAUGCGGAAUCAAUCAAUGCUAUGCUCAGCUGAUGCAGCAACUCAGGGUGUUGGACGCCAUCAGGUGGUCGAGGGACAUCUACAUAGAACACAUCACUGGACAUGGGCAGUAUCAGGAGGGAUGAGCUGGAGUGCCAAUAAGAAAUGCAGUCAGGAAAGUAACACAUACUUUCCUCAUGGAUUGUAUUUUCUAAAUGGACAACCAACCUAAUUCUCAAUUACUGAGGGACAAUCUCUACUCAUUGAUAUAUUUUGCUUUCCACAACCAAAUCUCUGUACAACUUUCAUGAGUGAUGUACCCGAGUAUUUGGAUUCUAAUAUCUAAACUGUAUUCACAAUAAUAUUUUAAAUCUAUUCACCUAAAUUUGGGUUAUUGCUGAUUAUGUCCUCUAUGUAUCAAAUGACUUUUUUUAAAAAAAACUUUGUAUUUGUGGAUAAUCUAAGCACUAUACCCAGAUGUACAGACACUCUUUUCUAAACCUAUGUAUUAUAUAAUUUUUUUAACAUUAGCUUUGAUAAAACUUUUAACUUUGAUUCACCCCUUACAGGCCAGACUAUGGGGUUGUUAACUGAAGAGUGCUCUUAUGUGUUGUGCUCUAAUGGUCCCAUAUAGACCUUACUGGUGCAAACUAAAAGAUACCUGCUUCAAAAUGAUGUAGUCCUGGGACUAUGUUAAUGCCACAUUGGUGCCUUUUAGUUCAUGCAGCAAGGGUCUAUAUGGGACAAUUAGAGUGCAACACAUUAGAGUGCUCUACCUACAAUGCAUAAAUUACCCAUAUUCUGGACUGUGGCUUUGAGGAGACAAACCCUUAGACUUGUUUAACAAGACCCAUAUUUAACUUACAUCCCUAAGGGUAUGUCUACACUACAAAAUUAGGUCGAAUUUAUAGAAGUUGUUUUUUUAGAAAUUGUUUUUAUAUAGUCGAUUGUGUGUGUCACCACAAAAAAUGCUCUAAGUGUAUUAAGUGCAUUAACUCGGUGGAGUGCUUCCACAGUACUGAGGCUAGCUUCAACUUCCAGAGCGUUGCACUGUGGGUACCUAUCCCACUAUUCCCGCAGUCUACGCCGCCCAUUGGAAUUCUGGGUUGAGAUCCCAAUGCCUGAUAGGGCUAAAACAUUGUCGCCGGUGGUUCUGGGUACAUGACGUCAGGCCUUCUCUCCCUCCCUGCCUCCCUCCAUGAAAGCAAUGGCAGACAAUCAUUUCGCGUCUUUUUUCCUGAGUUACCUGUGCAGAUGCCAUACCACGGCAAGCAUGGAGCCCGCUAGGCUCAUUGUCACCCUACAUCUCCUGGGUGCUGGCAGAUGCAGUACUGCAUUGCUACACAGCAGCAGCUCAUUGCCCUGUGGCAGCAGAUGGUGCAAUAGGCCUGAUAACCAUCAUCAUCAUGUCCGAGGUGCUCCUGGCCACCUCGAGAAGGUCGGUCAGGAGUGCAUGGGCAGACAUGGGCGCAGGGACUGAAAUAGGAGUGACUCGACCAGGUCAUUCUCUUUAGUCCUGCCAGCAGUCCUAUUGCACCGUCUUCUGCCGAGCAGCCAGGAGAUGAGGAUGGCUAGCAGUCCUACUGCACCGUCUGCUGCCAGCCAAAGAUGUAAAAGAUAGCUGGAGUGGAUCAAAACAAGAAAUAGACUAGAUUUGUUUGGUAUUCAUUUGCUCUCCCUCCCCCUCUGAAAUCAACGGCGGACAAUCGUUUCAGUGAGGUCUGUCAGGGGCACCUUGAAAAGUUUAAUGGAGAUUCAGUCCUACCUGGAAUACCGGGGGGAAGGAUAGCUCAAUGGGUUGAGCAUUGGCCUGCUAAACCCAGGGUUUUGAGUUCAAUCCUUGAGGGGGCCAUUCUGUGUGACAGUUGUUUUUGUUUCUCCUUGAUGUAAAGCCACCCCCCUUGUUGAUUUUAAUUCCCUGUAAGCCAACACUGUAAGCCAUGUCAUCAGUCGCCCCUCCCUCCAUCAGAGCAACGGCAGACAAUCGUUCCACAUCUUUUUUCUGUGCAGUCGCAAUACCACGGCAAGCAUGGAGCCCACUCAGAUCACUUUGGCAAUUAGGAGCAAAUUAAACACCAUGUGCAUUAUCCUGCAGUAUAUGCAGCACCAGAAUCUGGCAAAGUGAAACCGGGCGAGUAGGCAACGUCAACGCGGUGACGAGAGUGAUGAGGACAUGGACACAGACUUCUCUCAAAGCAUGGGCCCUGGCAAUGUGGGCAUCAUGGUGCUAAUGGGGCAGGUUCAUGCGGUGGAAUGCCGAUUCUGGGCUCGGGAAACAAGCACAGACUAGUGGGACCGCAUAGUGUUGCAGGUCUGGGACGAUUCCCAGUGGCUGCGAAACUUUCGCAUGCGUAAGGACACUUUCAUGGAACUUUGUGACUUGCUUUCCCCUGCCCUGAGGUGCAAGAAUACCAAGAUGAGAGCAGCCCCCACAGUUGAGAAGCGAGUGGCAAUAGCCCUGUGGAAGCUUGCAACACCAGACAGCUACCGGUCAGUCGGGAAUCAAAUUGGAGUGGGCAAAUCUACUGUGGGGGCUGCUGUGAUGCAAGUAGCCAACACAAUCAAAGAUCUGCUGAUGUCAAGGGUAGUGACCCUGGGAAAUGUGCAGGUCAUAGUGGAGGGCUUUGCUGCAAUGGGAUUCCCUAACUGUGGUGGGGCUAUAGACGGAACGCAUAUCCCUAUCUUGGGACUGGACCACCAGGGCAGCCAGUACAUAAACCGCAAGGAGUACUUUUCAAUGGUGCUGCAAGCACUGGUGGGUCACAAGGGACAUUUCACCAACAUCAACGGGGGAUGGUACCGGGAAAGGUACAUGACGCUCGCAUCUUCAGGAACUCUGGUCUGUUUCAAAAGCUGCAGGAAGGGACUUUAUUCCCAGACCAGAAAAUAACCGUUGGGGAUGUUGAAAUGCCUAUAGUUAUCCUUGGGGACCCAGCCUAGCCCUUAAUGAAGCCAUACACAGGCAGCCUGGACAGUGGUCAGGAGCUGUUCAACUACAGGCUGAGCAAGUGCAGAAUGGUGGUAGUACGUGCAUUUGGAUGUUUAAAAGCGUGCUGGCGCAGUUUACUGACUCGGUUAGACCUCAGCAAAACCAAUAUUCCCACUGUUAUUACUGCUUGCUGUGCACUCCACAAUAUCUGUGAGAGUAAGGGGGAGAUGUUUAUGGCAGGGUGGGAGGUUGAGGCAAAUGGCCUGGCUGCUGGUUACGCGCAGCCAGACACCAGGGUGGUUAGAAGAGCACAGGAGGGCACGGUGUGCAUCAGAGAAGCUUUGAAAACCAGUUUCAUGACUGGCCAUGCUAUGGUCUGAAAGUUCUGUUUGUUUCUCCUUGAUGACCCCCCCCCCUUGGUUCUCUGUACUUCCCUGUAAGCUAACCACCCUCUCCUCCCCCCUUCGAUCACUGCUUGCAGAGGCAAUAAAGUCAUUGUUGCUUCA